RNAcentral lists this transfer RNA (67 nucleotides) under Heteropsylla cubana. Its description in RNAcentral is "tRNA-Cys". Lineage: Eukaryota; Metazoa; Arthropoda; Insecta; Hemiptera; Psyllidae. The record is from RNAcentral.
AUUUCUUAUUCAAAUUUAUGAUAUUAAAUUGCAAAUUUAAAGGUACAAUAAUAUUAGUAGAAAUUUU